This is a long non-coding RNA of Pezoporus flaviventris, 929 nucleotides long. RefSeq lists it as uncharacterized. The transcript is spliced from 3 exons. The record is from RefSeq and is a predicted model, not a curated record. NCBI's taxonomy places the organism in Eukaryota, Metazoa, Chordata, Aves, Psittaciformes, Psittacidae.
AGUGGCCUUCUGGAAGCAGAGCUGACCAAAGCUAUAAAAGGUCUUCUGCCUGAAAGAAGAGAGUCAAGCACCUCUUCUCUAGGCUGGACAUUGCAGCUGCUGAUGCAUGGUCCAUCUCUGCUAAGAACUCAGGCUCUGUGCGUCAAGAACUGGAGGGAGCAAGAUGAAGCCCAGCGUUAGGACAAAGUUACUUGGAUUUUACUUUCUCCUUAGCUUAACUACCACUACUUAGAGUUCCAGGCUGAGUUUGGAGGACAAGUAGUCUGGGAAAAAGCAAUGAAUUCCUUUUAACUUUUAACAAGGCAGCCUUAACCAAAAGCAUGAACCUUUCCACUUCAUUCAUCUCAGUGAAGUGCCAGCUUCGCACUCCUUGGUUUCACUCAAUGUCAGUGCCACUUGCUUUAUUGCUGAGUGUUUUAUCUGGAGGUUUGGAAGGGGUAUGCUGAGAUGUGCAGGGAAAUAAAAGCACAGGAAAGAAGAACAAUGAUACAGAAAGGAAGAAGGCAUCAGAUGUCUUCUGCAUAUGGGUGACGAGUCCCUCUGGUGACUGCAGAAGAAAUGGGAGCUGGAGCUUUGUUUGUCUCACCCAUCACAACGCCCAACCCCAGAGGGCAGCCACUUCUGUUGCACUGAUGCCAAAGGCAGAAAUCUUUCCCCAGAGCCAUCCGAGAUUGUCCCUCCUGCAGAGCAGGCUGGUUGCCUCUCAUCCUUCUUCCUUGUCCCACUCUUUCUGCUGUAGUAGUCUGAGCCAUCAUGGAUACCAGUGCAAGUGAGUAUGUUUAAAUAGCCUGAGUGCUGUUAAUUGGAGACGCUGGCAUUGGUAUUGACACCCCAGUGGCUUCAUGGAGACUCAGGUCUUCCCCUGUCUGUCCUGUAUCCAAAGAGCUCCAGUCUGCAUUUGGCCUUGUCUCCAUCACAGUGGCCUCUUC